UGCAAUAAUACAUUAAUUCAAGAGCCACUAGAAAUAUUUUCAAGGGAUUAAUGUUAAUUGAGAAACAAGUUAUCGUGCUACAAAAUCUAUAGAAUUUCAAGUGUUUUAGGAUCAUUGCUCCCUUUGAAGAGGACCCGACCCCCCCAGAGGCCUUGCUAUCACUGCCAUGGCAGACUUUUAAAGUUUGUUUCCUCGAGGAAUAAAUUGUAACCUAAGGGGUUUCUCUAAAGUUGUAGCUGCUGAGUUUAUCUCUCACUGACAUAAAUGUCAGUGAUAGUCUUUAUUGGCCUAUCGCAGUCCUUCUUAUCAUCAGUGUAAAAUUACUGUAGGUUCGUUAACACUUCAGUGCAUGAUUAAAUCUAUGCAGUGGGUUGAAAGUAUAGUAUUUUUUUUAAUUGGUCCUAUUCUAUAAAAUCCAUAAUUGCUUAAUCUGUUCCAAUAUUUAAAGCAGUUCUCCAAUUCACAUGUGGUCUUCAUUUGCAAAGAGGCAACUUGCACAUGCGAUUUGUAGAACUGUAUUUUUCAGAUGUGCUUCUUUUUCACGUGUGCACUGAUAUGGGAUUUCUGAUAUCCAUAGUCUGGCUGUAAAUACAUGUUAGAAAAUCUUUGGCACAUAUUAAAGUAUUGAAGUGACUGACAUGUUGUUGUAGUAUGACUAUCAUCACUUCUAGUUGGUAAUUUCAGUGCCAUUCCUACUAGAAAAAGUCUUGUCUUUAUUAAGACAAGGAUGGCUGAAACAGUUACAUAAUAGUAUGUGAUGUGGUAUAUUUCUGUGUUGACUUUUGGAAGCACAAAUGUCUCAGGACACACCUCAGGAGUGGUGUGUGCUACAGAUGGGGGUGAGUUUUUGUAUCUUUUUUCCUUUUACUUAGUGGGUUCUAUCCUUACAGUGUGCUACCUAUAUUUCUUCUUAACCAUUUUAAAGAAGUAAUGAUCUUCUGAACUCAGAACACAAGCAAAAUUUCUGAUGUCUAAAUAAUUUUCUAAAUUAUUUAGAAGGCUGAAACCAAAUAGUAGGAAAAGGGCUGUAGUAAAGAAGGGCUGAUUCUCAUACCAGUGCCACUGCAACCCAAGAAAACCCACUGUAACAGCAGUAUCGAGAUUGGCAUAUGCUAUGGGAAUAACUGCUCAAGAACAUCAGUAUGAGAGCACCAUGGGAAGAAUACUGCCAUGGAGGCUGUGAAAAUCAUUGUUGUGGCAGGUCUGAGGACAAAUACAGAGCUGCAAGCAGUAGGGCAAGUAAGAGAGUUGAAUGUAGAAAGGCUUUUUGCAAUACAACCAAAAUACUGCCCACCAUCAUCAGCCAUUGUAUCAUGAAGGUAAAAUAUUCUGAAGAGGGUUUUUUGUUUAGUUUUAGGUUUUUGGUGUUCUUUUUUUUUUUUUUUUUUUUUUUUGUGAAAGUGUUCAUAAGAAGUUGUUACUUUUUUUUAUGAUAACCAUCUCAAAA
This is a long non-coding RNA of Gallus gallus (chicken), 1447 nucleotides long. The record is from Ensembl. Lineage: Eukaryota; Metazoa; Chordata; Aves; Galliformes; Phasianidae.